RNAcentral lists this ribosomal RNA (1379 nucleotides) under Staphylococcus aureus. RNAcentral describes it as "bacterial SSU rRNA". It matches the Rfam family "Bacterial small subunit ribosomal RNA", at positions 36 to 1395 of the family's 1533-position model. Lineage: Bacteria; Bacillati; Bacillota; Bacilli; Caryophanales; Staphylococcaceae. The record is from RNAcentral.
CUGGGGGGGGUGCCCUAUACAUGCAAGUCGAGCGAACGGACGAGAAGCUUGCUUCUCUGAUGUUAGCGGCGGACGGGUGAGUAACACGUGGAUAACCUACCUAUAACACUGGGAUAACUUCGGGAAACCGGAGCUAAUACCGGAUAAUAUUUUGAACCGCAUGGUUCAAAAGUGAAAGACGGUCUUGCUGUCACUUAUAGAUGGAUCCGCGCUGCAUUAGCUAGUUGGUAAGGUAACGGCUUACCAAGGCAACGAUGCAUAGCCGACCUGAGAGGGUGAUCGGCCACACUGGAACUGAGACACGGUCCAGACUCCUACGGGAGGCAGCAGUAGGGAAUCUUCCGCAAUGGGCGAAAGCCUGACGGAGCAACGCCGCGUGAGUGAUGAAGGUCUUCGGAUCGUAAAACUCUGUUAUUAGGGAAGAACAUAUGUGUAAGUAACUGUGCACAUCUUGACGGUACCUAAUCAGAAAGCCACGGCUAACUACGUGCCAGCAGCCGCGGUAAUACGUAGGUGGCAAGCGUUAUCCGGAAUUAUUGGGCGUAAAGCGCGCGUAGGCGGUUUUUUAAGUCUGAUGUGAAAGCCCACGGCUCAACCGUGGAGGGUCAUUGGAAACUGGAAAACUUGAGUGCAGAAGAGGAAAGUGGAAUUCCAUGUGUAGCGGUGAAAUGCGCAGAGAUAUGGAGGAACACCAGUGGCGAAGGCGACUUUCUGGUCUGUAACUGACGCUGAUGUGCGAAAGCGUGCCGAUCAAACAGGAUUAGAUACCCUGGUAGUCCACGCCGUAAACGAUGAGUGCUAAGUGUUAGGGGGUUUCCGCCCCUUAGUGCUGCAGCUAACGCAUUAAGCACUCCGCCUGGGGAGUACGACCGCAAGGUUGAAACUCAAAGGAAUUGACGGGGACCCGCACAAGCGGUGGAGCAUGUGGUUUAAUUCGAAGCAACGCGAAGAACCUUACCAAAUCUUGACAUCCUUUGACAACUCUAGAGAUAGAGCCUUCCCCUUCGGGGGACAAAGUGACAGGUGGUGCAUGGUUGUCGUCAGCUCGUGUCGUGAGAUGUUGGGUUAAGUCCCGCAACGAGCGCAACCCUUAAGCUUAGUUGCCAUCAUUAAGUUGGGCACUCUAAGUUGACUGCCGGUGACAAACCGGAGGAAGGUGGGGAUGACGUCAAAUCAUCAUGCCCCUUAUGAUUUGGGCUACACACGUGCUACAAUGGACAAUACAAAGGGCAGCGAAACCGCGAGGUCAAGCAAAUCCCAUAAAGUUGUUCUCAGUUCGGAUUGUAGUCUGCAACUCGACUACAUGAAGCUGGAAUCGCUAGUAAUCGUAGAUCAGCAUGCUACGGUGAAUACGUUCCCGGGUCUUGUACACUUCAAAG